AGUCCAUUGAGUGCUGUUGUGCAGUCGUCAAGGCGUCUUUGUUUUAGAAGGAUAUCCGGACUUUCGCAGCUGCACCGCUACAUUAAAUUUUUGAAAAAUUGUACGGUGGGUUUUUCGUCAGUAACAACAAUUUACAGACACCGAGCAACGAGGAAACUAGAUACCGUACACAUACUGCAAACCAGAGUUCAAAGGUCGGAACUGGUUGGCCCCCGACCCUCAUUCACUCUCCAGAUGUAGAGGUGGUGGAGAUUUAUGGCAUUCUUACGUUUAAUGGCAGCGUAACUUACAAUCCACGCUUGUUUGGAGUCAAAGCUUUGGCUCGUUUAUAAGACGAUCUCUCUCUUUUUUCCUUCUUUACCCAUUUAAAUUUGUAAUUGCGGAAGAAACGUGUAACAACAAGCUUGUGCAAUCAAUAAAAGUGGAUGACGGCUCGGAAUGGCUAUCGAACCAAAGUGGAUCUAUACCACUACACGUGCAGAAUGAUGGCUGCUGUUAUUACUGUCAUUGGAAAGAAGGCAUUACUGUCUCUGACUCUUGUUCCGUUUUAUGUCUUUCCAGUCGAGUCAAUAAUAUUUUAUAAGAACGACAAAUUAAGAAUUCCCUACGUAUAAAUUAUUAAAACGUUUGGCCAAGAAGUAACGAGAUAAAAAUCGUUCCGAAUGUGUAUGUGUGUGUGUGUGUGUGCCCCUUAAUGCGGCUUGUGGUAUACUAUCCGUGCACGAAUCCCGUCUUAGCUUAUCUAUAUAAUCUCACCCCCGACUUUAGCAGAAAUCUCAUCCCUGACUCAGUUUAUGCUUUGCAAAAGACUGGUUCUGCCAGAGGCCACCAUUGCAACCUGCAGCUUUGUAAAGUAUUCUCUCACGCCUCCAACGUGACGAAGCUGACCAAAUUUCUUCGACUCGUGCCUCAAGUUUUAAGAUGUUACCGAAGAGAGAUCGAGUUUGUGUAUACGCGGAAAAAAUCUCUUUUGUGCUAAAGCAAAAAAAAAAAAAACAUGACUAGUAUGUAGGACACAAACGGCGUGAUGGGCGUUAUCUGAAGAGUGGCAUCCUCCAAUGUCAACGCACUUAAUUAUUAUUAGCGGAUCGAUACGACUAUAUCAUUCUAACACAAUGCGAACAAAAACGUCUUUUAAAACUGUCGACGCGACGUUAACCAUUCCAGCUACUUUGGUCUUGUUAAAAUCUGCUGCUAAACUUGGAUAUAUAGGAGAGUGAUUACCUUCUUAUCUCGUCACAUAGAGAGAGAGAGAGAGAGAGAGAUGUGUCCCGCACUUAACAUGUCC
RNAcentral lists this long non-coding RNA (1288 nucleotides) under Androctonus crassicauda. Lineage: Eukaryota; Metazoa; Arthropoda; Arachnida; Scorpiones; Buthidae. The record is from RNAcentral.